This 1991-nucleotide long non-coding RNA is filed under the name Homo sapiens (human). RNAcentral's name for it is "non-protein coding lnc-HNRNPLL-1:1". Lineage: Eukaryota; Metazoa; Chordata; Mammalia; Primates; Hominidae. The record is from RNAcentral.
CUGUGGAAUAGUUGCCUGAGUCUUUGGGUGUGAGAUACUUAUGCAGCACAGCAGCUUCAAUACUGUGCUCUGAAAUCUCGGGUCUAGUUACUAUGGAAUGGAAAGCUGAGGACAGGGAGUAGAAGGAGAUUCUUCAGUAGUUUUUUGAACUCAACUUGUCCAUUCCAGCUAAACUUUAUUUCUUAUGCAACAUAAGUCUAUGAAGGCAAGAUUUUUCUUGGCAGCAUAAUUACUGCUACCUAAUAAGGGAAGAGAAUUUCCUUCUAAAGAUUCCUGCUGUUUUCUCAGCAGGUGGGAACUUUUGCACUCUGCAGCUGCUGGGUGCCAUUACUGUCCGUCCUGGGCUUGCUCUUUCCAUUCUGAGAUGGGAAUGGAAAAAUCCACAGGGAACAAUUGGGACUGUCCCGGAACUCUUGGACUUUGGGCUACUGUGUGCAUAACCUCGUGGAGGGUUCUGAGCAGCUCUGUCCAUCUACAUGUGAAGGAUCAAAGGGUGCCCCAGGUGUGUCCCUACUGACUCCAUAUAAGGCCCAGGGGAAGUUGUGCCCUGAAGAUAAAGGAAAUUAAGCUUCAGCACCCUUCAGUUGUCAGGGACUAGACCUUUCUAAGACACCAGGCAGAGGACCUAGCAAUGUGUGCAUAUGUUUCUUUUAUAAAUGGCAAAAAUAAGACAUUUUUCUAUUGUUUUCCAUUAAAGAUGGUCUCAAAAACUUUGUAAGUUUAGGCCCCACAAAUCUGUGUCCACCCUUGACAGGCUUCCUCUGGCUAUGCCUGAAGGAUUUUCCCUUUAUAUAACUAGAUAGUCAGCAGCCUCAACUCCAAGCCAGGGCACACUGGCAUGCCAGGGAUGGUGUGGGAAUGCAAGUAAAGAGGGGCAUUCACAACUCUGUUGGCUGCUGGAUGCAGAGAAAACCACAAGCUGGAUAAAGAGCAGCCUCUGGGGAAAAACAAGCUGUAGACCUGAGGUCCAGCAGCAAGAGUUCCUUCUUCAAACAGGUGGUUAGCAAGUGGCACCCAUCAGCUACCUGUUAAGUCUUUGAGAAAAAUUAACGACCUACUUUAUAAUUUAUACAAACAAAAAUACUGUCGCCUAUGUGCUGCGCCCCAGCCAUUCCCCAGCCCUGGUGCGGCUGUGUCCUGUAGUGGAGACAGCCCUGGAUAGGUUCCAGCCUUGGCUCCUCUGCUAGGUAGCUAAGUUAUGAAUGCUUAGCUUUGUUCAUCUUUAAAAUGAGUGUGUUGUAUUAGGCAGUCUCACUCUGAAACUUAAAUCAUUUUAUGGUAUGGGGGUAGAGUUUAUAUGAUUUCUGUAGAGAUACAAGAGUAGUGCUGUGGGAAAGUAUGACGCACCUGUUGGGAAGGAGGUUGACAUAUGGAGAAAAAUCAGACCAUAUGGGAUUAUGAAAUUUAAAAAAUUAUCUCCUCCUGCUCAGUAAACGUGCCAAAUAUAAGCCUAUCAUCCUAAGAACUGUCUUCCUUUUAACAAAUGAGAAGAAAUUAUGUGCAUUUCCAAAAUUAAAGGGAUAUUCACGUCAUGUUAAAUGUGUGACAUAUGUAGGCAACGACGAAGUUCUGAGAAGUAAGUUUGUGUUUACGGUAUGGCCUUUGUUAUUUAGGAGAUUACAAUUAAAACAGGACUAGCCCAGAUGAAACAAUUAACAAAGCUGAUGAGCUAUAACCAAAACCCAUGAUUAGUGAUGGGUUCAUUGAAUACAUUCUAGUACAUCUGUUCUAUGGAAUACCAUGCAAUCAAUCAUCAAGUAGAAUGAACCACAUUUAUAUGUAUUGACUUGGGAAGGUGUAGAAGACAUAUUAAGUAAACAUAAACAAGUGGUAAAUUAUAAUGAAAAAUAUGACCAUGUUUUUGUUAAAAGCAUAAAUGAGACCUCAACAGGUGAUUCAGUGCUUGUGUAAGCGUAGAAAAAAUAUGGAAUGAUAUAUACACCAGCAUGCUAAUACUGGUUACUUUAAGAGAGUAUAAUUGGACAGGGGAG